RNAcentral lists this ribosomal RNA (612 nucleotides) under uncultured bacterium. RNAcentral describes it as "SSU rRNA". It matches the Rfam family "Bacterial small subunit ribosomal RNA", at positions 8 to 596 of the family's 1533-position model. The record is from RNAcentral.
AGAGUUUGAUCCUGGCUCAGAACGAACGCUGGCGGCGUGCUUAACACAUGCAAGUCGAACGCGAAAGGGACUUCGGUCCCGAGUAGAGUGGCGCACGGGUGAGUAACGCGUAAGUAAUCUACCCCUGUAUCUGGAAUAACCCACCGAAAGGUGAGCUAAUACCGGAUACGUUUAUCUUGAUGCGAAUGAUGAUAAAGAAAGGUGGCCUCUUCAUGAAAGCUACCGUACAGGGACGAGCUUGCGUACCAUUAGCUGGUUGGUAGGGUAAUGGCCUACCAAGGCGACGAUGGUUAGCGGGUCUGAGAGGAUGAUCCGCCACACUGGAACUGAAACACGGACCAGACUCCUACGGGAGGCAGCAGUGAGGAAUAUUGCGCAAUGGGGGCAACCCUGACGCAGCGACGCCGCGUGGACGAUGAAGGCCCUUGGGUCGUAAAAUCCUGUCAGAUGGAAAGAAAUGUACAGGUGUUAAUAUCGCCUGUAUUUGACGGUACCAUCAAAGGAAGCACCGGCUAACUCCGUGCCAGCAGCCGCGGUAAUACGGAGGGUGCGAGCGUUGUUCGGAAUUACUGGGCGUAAAGCGCGCGUAGGCGGUUUGCUAAGUCAGAUGUG